AGAGUUUGAUCCUGGCUCAGGACGAACGCUGGCGGCGUGCCUAAUACAUGCAAGUCGAGCGGAGUUGAUGAGGUGCUUGCACCUCUGAUACUUAGCGGCGGACGGGUGAGUAACACGUAGGUAACCUGCCUGUAAGACCGGGAUAACAUUCGGAAACGAAUGCUAAUACCGGAUACGCGAUUCUCUCGCAUGGGAGGAUC
This 200-nucleotide ribosomal RNA is filed under the name uncultured bacterium. RNAcentral's name for it is "partial 16S ribosomal RNA". It matches the Rfam family "Bacterial small subunit ribosomal RNA", at positions 8 to 200 of the family's 1533-position model. The record is from RNAcentral.